RNAcentral lists this long non-coding RNA (1059 nucleotides) under Oryctolagus cuniculus (rabbit). RNAcentral describes it as "lncRNA (ENSOCUG00000038660.1)". Lineage: Eukaryota; Metazoa; Chordata; Mammalia; Lagomorpha; Leporidae. The record is from RNAcentral.
AUGAAGUACCUACCUCACGGCGCUGCAGUGAGGAGUAAUGAGCCCCAGGGCAAGCCAGGGCUUCACCCCCGGCCCCGGGCCUUGGGGAGACGGGCUUCACGGCCAGCAGCCACCGUUAGGCAAGAGCCCUGCUUUACAGGGAGAGAUGCAAGCUCAGAGAGGUCGCGCCUCCUGCUCAAGGUCACUGUUACUGAGCCAGGUCUGUCUGAAGCUGCUGAACACCCCAGGCUGGGAGGGGAAGCCAUCCCGACUUUGAGUGUUCUUGGAUCAGUUCACACCCCUUCAUUUUUGGUUGGGAAAAGGGUCAUGGGGGGAUGUUACACACACACACACACACACACACACACUCCAGAAGGGGUGCGGGGAGUGCCCAGGCCCCAUGCUUGGCACCCAUUGAGUUCCCGCGGCCGCGCUGUCCCCCCGCGGCCGCCAGGGGUCGCUGAUCCGGCGCACAGGCCACUUCCCAUUCAUAAAUCCGGCCUCGCUCCCGGCGCCUCCCUCCUGCAGACCCCUCCCUCUCGAGCUGGGCCCGGACGACCCCUGACGCGGGUAGCAGGCAUGACGCUCCCUGGAGACCCCUGGCGGAGGGGGAAGGGACGCCUUUCCACUCCGCCGAGUGCCAGCGGACCCACUCCCUUCGCGGGACCUGCUCUUGCCCUGGGACCUCCCAGCACCUCGCGGGCUGCGGGGGCUGCGGCGCGGGGAGCGAGGGGUUCGGCAGGAGCCCUCCGAGAGGUGGGCAGGGCCGGCGAGGGGCUCAGGCUCCAGCACCCAGGUUACCCGCCGAGACUCCUGGCUCCCCCAACCCUCACCGCGGGUCCCUUGGAUCCCCCCCAUCCCGGGCCCGGGUGGUCCCUUAUGCCCCGCACCUGUUGGUUUCGGGACGCAGGCGUUCGCGGCCGCUGGUCCCAGGCCCUUGCGCCGGAGAUGUUGCCUUCCCGCGGAAGAGUCUGGGCCCCUGGGCCCCCUCCCAAGGCUGCGCUGCCUCGGCUCUCUGGGCUGGGCGUGAGCCUCGGCUCCAGCUCUGGCUGUGGCUCGGAGCGGGCUCCGCCGGGCUGA